AUUCAGCUGACAGGUUUGACAUAAAACGAAACUUAAGUCCUGAAU
Molecule: non-coding RNA, 45 nt
Organism: Schistosoma mansoni
Lineage: Eukaryota; Metazoa; Platyhelminthes; Trematoda; Strigeidida; Schistosomatidae
Source: Rfam